GAUGAAGAACGCAGCGAAAUGCGAUACUUGGUGUGAAUUGCAGAAUCCCGUGAACCAUCGAGUCUUUGAACGCAAGUUGCGCCCGAAGCCAUUAGGCCGAGGGCACGCCUGCCUGGGCGUCACACGUCGUUGCCCCCCCCUCUACUCCUUCGGGAUUGCGGGGGGCGGAUGAUGGCCUCUCGUGCGCCUCGUCGCGCGGUUGGCCUAAAUGCCAAGUCCUCGGCGACGCACGCCACGACAAUCGGUGGUUGCGAAACCUCGGUUGCCUGUCGUGUGCGGUCGUCGCGCAUCGAGGGCUCGAAAAAAUUGCCGGGCUUCGGCUCGACUUUCAACGCGACCCCAGGUCAGGCGGGGUUACCCGCUGAAUUUAAGCAUAUCAAUAAGCGGAGGA
This 391-nucleotide unclassified non-coding RNA is filed under the name soil metagenome. Its description in RNAcentral is "partial contains 5.8S ribosomal RNA, internal transcribed spacer 2, and large subunit ribosomal RNA". The stretch from base 1 to 122 matches the Rfam family "5.8S ribosomal RNA", at positions 35 to 154 of the family's 154-position model. The record is from RNAcentral.